AUUGAACGCUGGCGGCAGGCCCAACACAUGCAAGUCGAGCGGAUGAAGGGAGCUUGCUCCUGGAUUCAGCGGCGGACGGGUGAGUAAUGCCUAGGAAUCUGCCUGGUAGUGGGGGAUAACGUCCGGAAACGGGCGCUAAUACCGCAUACGUCCUGAGGGAGAAAGUGGGGGAUCUUCGGACCUCACGCUAUCAGAUGAGCCUAGGUCGGAUUAGCUAGUUGGUGGGGUAAAGGCCUACCAAGGCGACGAUCCGUAACCGGUCUGAGAGGAUGAUCAGUCACACUGGAACUGAGACACGGUCCAGACUCCUACGGGAGGCAGCAGUGGGGAAUAUUGGACAAUGGGCGAAAGCCUGAUCCAGCCAUGCCGCGUGUGUGAAGAAGGUCUUCGGAUUGUAAAGCACUUUAAGUUGGGAGGAAGGGCAGUAAGUUAAUACCUUGCUGUUUUGACGUUACCAACAGAAUAAGCACCGGCUAACUUCGUG
This 484-nucleotide ribosomal RNA is filed under the name uncultured bacterium. Its description in RNAcentral is "partial 16S ribosomal RNA". It matches the Rfam family "Bacterial small subunit ribosomal RNA", at positions 30 to 507 of the family's 1533-position model. The record is from RNAcentral.